CUUUUAUGAUGGAGGGGAUCUUGCGCUCGGGGAAAAAGAGGAACUAGGGUGCGUUGGAGGAGCAGAGCGAGCGAGAGGGGAAAGAGGCAACGGGGUGCGGCGCUGUAGGGGGAGGGCAGUCGCUACCUCCGGGACGUUGGGUACCCCUGCCACUGCCACCGGAGUGCCCCCACCGGAGCAGCUGUUGGAGCUGACCCACCUGCUUGGUUGCAGCCGACCACACGGGCCGCUGCUCAAGGGCAUUAACAACCAGUAACGAUGGAUCUGGUCUAGCCUCGUGCUGUUCUAGGCGGUGGUGAUUGGAACGCACGUCCCUCGAGGAAAGGAAAGAGUAGGGAACAUAAAGAGAAGGAAACGAAUAAGAGGAGACAAAGACGGCACCACAUCGUCUGGUACCUCCUGAUGACCUUCGCGUGAAGCACGUCAGCGGCCGAACGCGUACCUGUUUCUCCUCCCUAAUUCUCCAACCUCCGGUACCUACAACCUCGGGUGUUAUCUUACAAGUAGAUAUCGUUCUUACUUCUAUCAAGGGCGUUUUUUUUUUUUUGUUCUUACUUCUAUCAAGUAGUCUUUUAGUUCGCUCCUGAAACUCUUUUACCCUAAGGAAGAGGGAAAGAGGGAGAGAUAGUGAUGACUACUAGUGUACAAAGGGAGCUAAAAAUCAAAUAAAACCAAUAGGCACAGUAGCACACGAAAGUCCAUAUAACAAAGGAUUUACUUUUUGUUUUCAAUCAUCCUCGAUACAGACUAGUAUAGACAAAGUACACAAACAACAAGUGUGACGACCUUAAAAGAUUACAACAAACAGAGUCCAACAAGUAGAGUCGAACACUUAAAAUAUUACAACAAACUAUUGUCUAUUCAAAAGGGUCUGUUGAAGGUACCCGUCUAACAGUAACUGAGUGAACCAUAGACCAUGAAUGAUCGUAUGAAAAUGAUGAAUUCACGAUUCUUGUAAAACUUAAUUGACUUCCAUCGAACGAAGACAAAAUACCAUGUAAGUAUGAUUAAUAUCGACUAUCUUUUACACUAAACAGUCGUACUUCCAUUUUCUACCCUUCCAUAUUACGAGUACCCGGAGUCACGAUGAUAGUAUAUCUCUAUUGACGACGUUUCAAGUAUAUUACCAGGGACAAAGAAAAUAACCUUAUAACUGUAACAAAAGUUUCUAAGUUAAAUCAACCUAACUCAAAGACAAAAUUGAAAGAUUGUACACGUACGUCUACUUGAUUCUUAAUUUCCAUCAUGAAUAAAUUUCAAAGAAAAAGGUAACUUUACACGUCAAAAUGUGUAAAGAUACGGGGAAAAGGAUAAACACACGUAGUUUGUCAUCUUUAGUUACAAUUAUAAGAAAUAGACGCUCGAUUGACUCUCCGUACAGGAAAAAUACAGUUCGACUCUCAAAUUAACAGUGUUACUUUAGAUCCCUUGAUUCCGUCCUCUUACCCUAAAGUGUCCCAACCCUUCGUCAGUUAACCACUAGUAGCUUGCACAGCCUUGAAGGUUCCUUUACAGAGAGACACCGAUUUUAUGUAGCCAAAAGGGGAGUUCAGUGAUUUGACGUUACGCAUCAACCAGCCAGUGACAGUUAACUUAGGGCCUUAACUUUACAGAACGGCAAAAUGUUAAGAACAAAACGAAGUGUUAGAAGAGACAAUUUAUUUGGACAAACAUAUAUACUUUGUUGUGGAAAAUCAUAGAUACUUUGAUCAUGCGAACGAGACGAAAUACUUACUUGUGAAUAGAGG
Molecule: ribosomal RNA, 1748 nt
Filed under: Triticum aestivum (bread wheat)
Lineage: Eukaryota; Viridiplantae; Streptophyta; Magnoliopsida; Poales; Poaceae
Description: partial small subunit ribosomal RNA
Source: RNAcentral